Molecule: long non-coding RNA, 3062 nt
Filed under: Medicago truncatula (barrel medic)
Lineage: Eukaryota; Viridiplantae; Streptophyta; Magnoliopsida; Fabales; Fabaceae
Description: lncRNA gene23224
Source: RNAcentral
AAAAAAAUUCUUUGAAAGUAACUAAUUACGAAAGAGUCGUGAUGCUGUUAAUUUACUUCCAAUACAAUUAAACGCAGACGAGAACUCCAAAGACUACUUUGGGACAUGCGGAAGAGCAACAUUGGGGAAUAAUAAAACCGAAAUAGCUGGGAAUUAUCACUUAACAAUGUUAUUUAACAGAGGAUCAACAAUAGAGAAAACAAUCAAACUCCACGUUCAUCGUGUCUAGCAAAAUACAUCCAAAAACUACCCAAUGUCGAUGAACCCGCAUUCAAAAUAAGAGCAAUGUCUGUGAAAUUUAUGUAAGAUGCACCAUUCCUCUCAAACACCACACACUGCUCCUUAGGCUUCUGCGAACCUAUGAGGUAAAAAACAUAACAUGAAUCAACUUCCAAUGGAUAAUGCAGAACUUAAAGGAUGUGUAAAAUCGUAAUCUUUGAAGAUAAAUACAAGAUAUAUUAUAUGACUUACCCAAGCUCAGAUAGCUUCUGAUGAGCUUCGGCAUAAUCAGCAAAGAAAGCAUCUUCAUCCUGCAAUCAUUGACAAAUGAGAAUUCUUAGAUUAACUUAUCAGCAGAUAUAAUAAUUUCAUAAUGCCAACAAUAUGAUGAAAAGGAUUAUUAUAGGAAUAUUAAAUAUUAAAUAUACAUACAGCAGCAUAUUUCUCAACAAGUGGGCGGAAUACAGGGUCGCUCAAAAGUGCCUUAUCACUUGGCAACUGAAGAAGGCCUUCCUUCUCACCACCCAACAACUCCCUAAUCAUUCCAACAACAUCGAUAAUCAAUAAUAAGAAUUUAAAACAAAGAAAAAAGGGGGCAUGGAUGAGAGAUAAUGUUUUUAAUUAGACUCACGUAAAGUAUGAGUUGUCAAAAAUGAGAGGAUUAGAAGUCCAUGGGCCCUCAAAUCCAGAACGCUCCUUGUGUGCAGCUCCCUAAAAAUUACAUUAAGCAUAACCAAAACACAGUCACAACCUCAAUGUUGAGAAUAGUCGAAUAUGUUAUUAUUUUUCAUAACAAUUAAACAAGUUAAAAAUAAAAUUUUGCAGAUAAUAAGGCAACUUAGUCAAGUUUUUUGCAUUGGCAGCCAUAUCAUCACAAUCACAAAUCGCACAACCACAAUGCAGCCACAAAACUUAGAUGCUUAUUCCAGUGUCAAAAUAUCAAAUGUGACAAAUACUAUACUCAAUAAACAGAUUAAAGUCAAUGCAUACAAUGGUGUGGCCACCAGACAAAGCAACGAUGUCCUGGUCACUAAGCCCCAUAGCUUUGCCAAACACAUCCCUCAAAUGGUCAGAACCUGCAAAAAUCAAGAAUCAAAUAAUGAGCCAAACAACUACCAGUCAAUUGUAGGCAAUAAUUCACAUCGCAAGUCCAGAACACUUACCCUUGGUGGCAUCAGGCAAGCGACCCUCUGGUGGUGGCUCAGGCUUGUCCUGAUAAUUAAACCAGAACAAAGGACCAAUUAGCCUCCAAAUAUAAAAAUUAAAUAGGGUGAAAAACAAAGAUACAUCAGCAUCUUUUGAGUAUAAUUUAGCAUCCAUAUGUGUACAUAAUUACAAAACAUGCAAGAGACAAAAAGCAUUCCCAGUUAUCACAUGUGGUUAAUUAUUGCAAUGCAAUCUACAAGUUGGUUACCAACAGAAAUAUUUGAAACCCAGAAACUCGUUGAUAAGGAUUACAGACAGCUUACAUAACAUGCAAAUAAAUGAAAUCUGAGAACGUGAAAUGCAAGACAAAUUUGUUUCGUAUUAAUUGCAAACGCAUUUCGAACAGACAGUCAAAACUUACAAAUAAUUCCCAUACAUGUUACAAAGACUGAUCAAACACUUUACAAAAAAAGUAUUCGCGGACAUAAUUCCGAUCAUUAUAUACCGAGAAAAGUUAUAACCAGUAAUUGAUUUUCAAAUCAUGUCAACAAGAUUUGCAGACAAAAAAUACGACCAAAAAGUUAAAGAAGUAUCAUAAUUUGUAUUGAAAAAAUACAACUAUACCAUAUAAAUAAAUAAAGAGAAACUGAAAGUACUAAACAUAAACAUACCUCCCUGCCUGGGUGGAAAGGAACUUCAGGUCCACCUGUAACCUCAACAGCAACAACACCAGCCAACUGCAUAACCACAAAGCAAGCCAUUAAGCACAAAAAUCGUAGACUGAAAUAAUACAGCAAGAUCUAGCAAUUCAUCACAAAAAAUACAACAAAUCACUACCUGGUAGAAAUCAGCAUAGCUAAUGAUUGGGAAUUGCUCCUUAAGAGGCUCCAAAAGCCUAACAGCAAUAUCAAGACCGUUGUUAGCACCAUGAGCAAGCUCGGCUUGGUGCUUGAUGGUUCCGAAAGGACCACCAGUCUUUGUCUUUGAAUCAAAAGUUCCAGCAGAGUGCCAUCUACACAAACAAAUCAUAACAAAAAAAUCACACUCAAUUCAUCAUAAAAAGAAAACACUCAGUUGAUUACAAAAAAAAUCAUACAAUUCAUCACAAAUCAUCAAACAAAAAAAAAUUGUGACAAAAAAGUCAAAACAAAUCAUAACAAAAAUAAAAUUACACAAAUCAUGACAAAAAUCACACGAAUAAUUACAAAAAAAUAAUCAAGCACAAAUUUAAGCUAAACAAUCUAAUAAGUGAAAAUCUCACAUAGAAACGGUCCUACAAAAAAUGAGCGGAAAAUGAAACUUACGCCAAACGGAGCAUAAGAGGAGCACAUUUCUUCUCAGCGAUGAAACCUCUGAGCUUCCUCUUCGCCUUCUCAACAGCCUUCUGGUAAUCAGCACUCACGGUUGGGUAAGAUUUUCCCAUAGCUUAAAAUUUCUGUAACAAAAUCAAAAUCACAUAACAGAAUCAGAAACAGAUCAUCGCGUUGGUGAAAAAAUCGAAGAAAAACAAGCUCAAAAAUGGAUCUAAAAACACUGAUUCAAUAAACAAGAAUAUUAAUCAACUUCGAUUCGAAGAUAAGAGGUGAAUCAGAAGAAAUUGUUGAGCGGAGAAAGCGAGAAAUGAACGAACCUCGAAAUCUAAGAAGGAAAAUGGCGAAGAUUGUUGAACCCUAACUGUGACACGAGGAGAGCACAAG